RNAcentral lists this ribosomal RNA (406 nucleotides) under uncultured bacterium. RNAcentral describes it as "partial 16S ribosomal RNA". It matches the Rfam family "Bacterial small subunit ribosomal RNA", at positions 30 to 526 of the family's 1533-position model. The record is from RNAcentral.
AUUGAACGCUGGCGGCAGGCCUAACACAUGCAAGUCGAACGAGUGGCGGACGGGUGAGUAAUGUCUGGGAAACUGCCAGAUGGAGGGGGAUAACUACUGGAACAGGUAGCUCAUACCGCAUACCAUCGGAUGUGCCCAGAUGGGAUUAGCUAGUAGGUGGGGUAAUGGCUCACCAAGGCGACGAUCCAUAGCUGGUCUGAGAGGAUGACCAGCCAAACUGGAACUGAGACACGGUCCAGACUCCUACGGGAGGCAGCAGUGGGGAAUAUUGAACAAUGGGCGCAAGUCUGAUGCAGCCAUGCCGCGUGUAUGAAGAAGGCCUUAGGGUUGUAAAGUACUUUCAGCUGGGAGGCGUUACUCGCAGAAGAAGCACCGGCUAACUCCGUGCCAGCAGCCGCGGUAAUAC